UACGUAGGGGGCAAGCGUUAUCCGGAUUUACUGGGUGUAAAGGGGGCGCAGACGGCGCGGCAAGUCCGGAGUGAAAUCCCAGGGCCCAACCCUGGGGCUGCUCUGGAAACUGCCGGGCUGGAGUGCUGGAGGGGCAGGCGGAACUCCUAGUGUAGCGGUGAAAUGCGUAGAUAUUAGGAGGAACACCGGUGGCGAAGGCGGCCUGCUGGACAGCGACUGACGUUGAGGCCCGAAAGCGUGGGGAGCAAGCAGG
This 253-nucleotide ribosomal RNA is filed under the name uncultured bacterium. RNAcentral describes it as "partial 16S ribosomal RNA". It matches the Rfam family "Bacterial small subunit ribosomal RNA", at positions 524 to 776 of the family's 1533-position model. The record is from RNAcentral.